This 3786-nucleotide long non-coding RNA is filed under the name Gossypium barbadense (sea-island cotton). RNAcentral describes it as "long non-coding RNA (GBAR_LNC019418)". The record is from RNAcentral. Lineage: Eukaryota; Viridiplantae; Streptophyta; Magnoliopsida; Malvales; Malvaceae.
GAGGAUUCAUGUCAGAGUGGAGCAUGUUCAGCCUUCAAGGUGCACUGAGGAAUUCAAACUGAGGAAGAUAAAGAAUGAUCAGCUCAAGGCAGAGGCCAAGGCAAAGGGUGAGGUGAUUAGCACAAAGAGGCAGCCUGAGGGCCCAAAACCUGGUUUCAUGGUCGAGGGUGCGAUGUUGGAAACGGUUACUCCCAUUCCAUAUGAUGUUGUUAAUGAUCUCAAGGGUGGCUACUAGAUCUACUCUGUUUUUUGGUUUAUUCUUGGCAUAACUUAAGUAAGCUUUGUUAGUUAUUUUGGAUGUGUUGUUUACGUUUUGUAGUUUAUUUUGAAGAGUUACUGCUUCUGCAAAGAUUUUAAUCUUAUCAAUCAUUUUAUUUUAGAGAUAAAUGGAUCCCUUUAAUUGCUUGUGCAUUACGUUUUAGUUCCACAUUAUAGUUCUACAUUACUAUUAAACUAUGUGGUCAACUUGAAAAUACCAAAAAAAUCAAAAUUUAAAUCUUAAUAAAAAUUAUGUAAAAAAAACAGUUUGAACUCAAGAAAAUAACAAAAAUUGGGAUUCAACUCUUGCGUUGUUGAUUGGAUGCAAUUGUCAUGAUUAUGUUUAUUAAAUGAAUUGCACUUCAGUUGCCUAAUGAAGUAUAUUUUGUAUGUUUGUUUCUCUUUUCUAUGUUCUUCAAAUUGAUAGCUUUUGGUUUGGUAUCACUAUGCUUUCCAUGCAUAUCCAAAUAUUUGGUAUCAUUGGGCAUAUAUACAAAUAUUGAUUUUUUCCCUUUUAACAUUUCUUUAUAACAAAUUUUGAAGUAACAACUGGUCUGUUCCUUUUAGCAUGUUUUUAAGAUAGUGACUUUAUGCAAAUAGGAUUAUGUUGUAUGUAUCUUGACUCUUGAAUAAAAUGGUUUUUUUUGCUAUAUCAUUUUUCUUCAAGUUUACUGCUUUGUUGUGAGACUGGAACAAGAUGCUUUUUACAUUAAUUUUUAUUCUCCCAUUAUGCUUUAAAUGUCUUAUCAUUUUUUUUUGGUAUAAAUGUUUAAAUUAGUGUCUUGUUUUAAUUGGUUUUUUAUAUACCAACAAGGGAAAAGAGUUUCAAUUUGCAUAUACAUGUGAUUUGAAUGAUUGUUUCUUUUUAACGUUUGUGCAAAUGAAUUGAUGCUCAUGCACGUAUACUUAUUGAUAUGUUGUGUAAUGCGUGACAUUGGUGAGUUUGGAUGCUUUGAAUUUUAUGAAUGUAUUGAAAGAAUUAAUACGCUAUUUGCAAGUAAAGUUGAGCAGUACCAGAAGCAGUGCCAACUUCUUCACGCAUAAAUGAUGAAUAAUGUAGAACAUAUCGAUAUGUUUACAUAGUUCGAUUUUUCCACGUCAACAUGAUCUUGCCCAUAGAGAUUAUCUAUUAACUUAAUACCUCGAACAAAAAGUGAUUACAAGUUCUAAUACUCACUAGAUUAGAAUCAUACUUUUGCACUUAAGAUCUAGUUCACUCACUUCUAAGUUUUUAAGUUAGAACUGACAUUUCAUGCAUUUCAAAAAAAAAAAAAAAGCUCAUUGAUGAACAAAAAUAAGUGUUCUUAGACCACCUAUACAAGUUAGAGGUGCUCAAGAGUUAGGUCGGGUUCAAACAAAAUUUUAAGCUCAUUUGCUAGGUUUGACUCAAUAAAUAGGCUUAAAAUUUUGCCCAAAUCUGGCUCAUAUAAAAUGUUAAAACCUGGGUUGAGCCCAAAUACUGUCAAGCUCGAGCUUAACCCAAAUUUUAGAGGUCGAUACUCAGCUUGAGCUCGUUCAAACAUCUAGUUUUAAGCUCGAGCUUGGCUCGAGAUAUAAUCGAGCUACUCAAUUUUGAGCUUGAUUAAGCUCGUUUACCAAUUUUUGUUCUCGAGCUCGAUUUGAUAAUUAAGCUUAGAGUUAAUAAUAUAUAUUAGGGGUAAUAAAGUAAUUUAAUAAUAUAAAUAACAAAACUUGAUAAGGCUCAUGAGCUGUCUGAAUUAAGUAUUUCUAAACUCAAAUUUAGUUCAAGCUUAGCUCAAUACUUUCUAAAUCGUGUUCGAUUUUUUUAAAAUUAAACUCGAGUAACUUGCUUGUAGUAAUGUUUCAUUUACACCCCACUCAACCUAACUUGCUGUACUUGAAUAACUUUUCUUACUGAAUUUCAGGUUUUAAUGGGCCUAUUGCAAAAACAAGACAAAAAUCCAAAACGAGAAAUCUACAUAUUAGAUGGGCUUUUAUGCCCGGAUGAGCUCCAACAAUGGCGGAUCUGGUCCUUCGUUACCAAUCAUUCAAACACUGAAAUAGAUAUCAAAGCCCAAACCCAAAAAUGUCGAGAGAAAAAUAAACCUGACCAAAAAAGCGACUAUAAAAGGAUCAUAGUUAGGGUUUUAAUCGUCCCUACAGCUCAACGCCUCUCUCUCUAUCUUCUACAAGCCGGCGAGGGAAGGAAAACCUGAGAGGGUGAAAAAUGCCAGCUGGUCACGGUCUCCGAUCUCGGACUAGGGAUCUGUUUUCCAGACCCUUCAGAAAGAAGGGUUACAUCCCAUUGUCCACUUACCUCAGGACCUACAAGAUCGGUGACUAUGUUGACGUCAAGGUAAAUGGCGCCGUUCACAAGGGUAUGCCCCACAAGUUCUACCAUGGCCGCACUGGUCGUGUCUGGAACGUCACCAAGCGCGCCAUCGGCGUUGAGGUCAACAAGCAGGUACUGUUUGGGGGGUUUUGGUGUACGAAUCGUUUUGGGGGUUUUCAGUUUCAUUUUUGCUUGAUGUAUUAUGUUUAUUUGUACUUUGGUUUUCCAUUUCACUGUUAAACGAUUUAUCCAACUAAGUCCCAAUACAGCAUUUUAUGUGCAAUAAGUUUCAUGUUUCUGAAUGUUGUUUGCUGAUAUUUGCUAUGUGGUUGAAAUUGUUUAUUCUGAUUAUACGAUUGGAUUUGUUUCUCCACUUAUAGUAGUCUGCUCGGUAUUUAUGUUAGGAAAAUCCAUUUAGAAAUAUGGCGUGCUGCUAUUUCAAAGUUAGAUUUUCUUGUAUACAUGAUGUAAUUAGUGUGAAUGCUGUUCGCCUGCCUUUCAGCACUAGUGUAGCUCCUUUUUGGUGUUGGAGUUGCCACUGAAGGGGAAUAUAUAUAGAAUCACUCUUUUUGGAUGAGCUUAAUUUGUAUAUUUCAAUAAGAUGAUUUAUCAUGUUGAUUAAAUGUGAUGCACACCCCAGCGUUUCAGGGGUGAUCAUGUGAACAAUAUUGCAAUCUUUUCACUUUUUUGCUAUAGGGCUUUUUUAUAUUCAUUGCCUGGCUGAGUUUUCAAGCUUGUGCUUUGUAUGGGAGAUUGGCAAGCUUUGUAAUUGUUGUAUUAAUAUGCUUGCCGUUUUCAGGUUGGUAACCGGAUUAUAAGGAAGAGGAUUCAUGUCAGAGUGGAGCAUGUUCAACCUUCAAGGUGCACUGAGGAAUUCAAGCUGAGGAAGCUGAAAAAUGAUCAGCUUAAGGCAGAGGCCAAGGCAAGGGGUGAGGUGAUUAGCACAAAGAGGCAGCCUGAGGGCCCAAAACCCGGUUUCAUGGUCGAGGGUGCGAUGUUGGAAACUGUUACUCCCAUUCCAUACGAUGUUGUUAAUGAUCUCAAGGGUGGCUACUAGAUCUACUCUGUUUUUUUUUUGUCUUGCCGUUUUUGGUUUACCCUUUGCAUAACUUAAGUAAGCCUUGAUAGUUAUUUUGGAUGUGUUGUUUUCGAUUUGCAGUUUAUUUGAAGAGUUACUGCUUUUGAAAAGAUUUUAAUCUUAUCAAUCAUUUGAAUUUAGAGAUAAAAGGAAUUCC